AGCCAUGUAGUGUAGUGGUUUGAGCAUUGGACUAUAACUCUGGACACCAGGGUUCAAAUCCCCACUCAGCUA
This 72-nucleotide transfer RNA is filed under the name Phrynosoma platyrhinos (Desert horned lizard). RNAcentral describes it as "tRNA-OTHER". The record is from RNAcentral. Lineage: Eukaryota; Metazoa; Chordata; Lepidosauria; Squamata; Phrynosomatidae.